CGGAGUUACUGGGCGUAAAGCGCGCGCAGGCGGCUCGUCAAGCCUGACGUGAAAGCCCCCGGCUCAACCGGGGAGGGUCGUCGGGGACUGGCGAUCUUGAGGUCGGCAGGGGUUGGUGGAAUUCCCGGUGUAGUGGUGAAAUGCGUAGAGAUCGGGAGGAACACCCGUGGCGAAGGCGGCCAACUGGGCCGGACCUGACGCUGAGGCGCGAAGGCGUGGGGAGCGAACGGG
RNAcentral lists this ribosomal RNA (231 nucleotides) under uncultured bacterium. RNAcentral describes it as "partial 16S ribosomal RNA". It matches the Rfam family "Bacterial small subunit ribosomal RNA", at positions 546 to 776 of the family's 1533-position model. The record is from RNAcentral.